GAUCCUGGCUCAGGAUGAACGCCAGCUACAGGCUUAACACAUGCAAGUCGAGGGGCAUCAGGAAGAAAGCUUGCUUUCUUUGCUGGCGACCGGCGCACGGGUGAGUAACACGUAUCCCAACCUGCCCUUUACUCGGGGAUAGCCUUUCGAAAGAAAGAUUAAUACCCGAUGGCAUAAUGAUUCCGCAUGGUUUCAUUAUUAAAGGAUUCCGGUAAAGGAUGGGGAUGCGUUCCAUUAGGUUGUUGGUGAGG
Molecule: ribosomal RNA, 251 nt
Filed under: uncultured bacterium
Lineage: Bacteria
Description: partial 16S ribosomal RNA
Rfam family: Bacterial small subunit ribosomal RNA
Source: RNAcentral